This 200-nucleotide unclassified non-coding RNA is filed under the name Talaromyces sp. RNAcentral describes it as "partial internal transcribed spacer 2". The record is from RNAcentral. Lineage: Eukaryota; Fungi; Ascomycota; Eurotiomycetes; Eurotiales; Trichocomaceae.
UUAAGUUCAGCGGGUAACUCCUACCUGAUCCGAGGUCAACCGUGGAAAAAUUAUGGAAGACCAACACCCGUAGAUCCUUCCCGAGCGGGUGACAAAGCCCCAUACGCUCGAGGACCUAGGCGGGCGUCGCCACUGCCUUUCAGGCAGUCCCCAGGGGGGACCACACCCAACACACAAGCCGUGCUUGAGGGCAGAAAUGA